This 468-nucleotide ribosomal RNA is filed under the name uncultured bacterium. RNAcentral describes it as "partial 16S ribosomal RNA". It matches the Rfam family "Bacterial small subunit ribosomal RNA", at positions 28 to 507 of the family's 1533-position model. The record is from RNAcentral.
GACGAACGCUGGCGGCGUGCUUAACACAUGCAAGUCGAACGGAAAGGCCCUGCUUUUGUGGGGUGCUCGAGUGUCGAACGUGUGAGUAACACGUGAGUAACCUUCCCUUGACUUUUGUAUAACUUCAGGAAACUGGGGCUAAUACCGGAUAGGAGCUCCUGCUGCAUGGUGUGGGUUGGAUAGUUUCGGCGGUUGGGUAUGGACUCGCGGCUUCUCAUCUUGUUGGUGGGGUAGUGGCUUACCAAGGCUUUGACGGGUAGCCGGCCUGAGAGGGUGACCGGCCACAUUGGGACUGAGAUACGGCCCAGACUCCUACGGGAGGCAGAAGUGGGGAAUAUUGCACAAAGGGCGGAAGCCUGAUGCAGCAACGCCGCGUGCGGGAUGACGGCCUUCGGGUUGUAAACCGCUUUCGCCGGUGACGAAGCGUGAGUGACGGUAAUGGGUAAAGAAGCACCGGCUAACUACGUG